RNAcentral lists this small RNA (625 nucleotides) under Pan troglodytes (chimpanzee). RNAcentral's name for it is "retained intron". Lineage: Eukaryota; Metazoa; Chordata; Mammalia; Primates; Hominidae. The record is from RNAcentral.
AUUUUGUUGUUGGUGCGCGACGCAGUCAGCUGCGUGAUUCCCGUGAUUGCGUUACAAGCUUUGUCUCCUUCGACUUGGAGUCUGUCCAGGACGAUGAGACACUCAAAGAGAACUUACUGUCCUGAUUGGGAUGACAAGGAUUGGGAUUAUGGAAAAUGGAGGAGCAGCAGCAGUCAUAAAAGAAGGAAGAGAUCACAUAGCAGUGCCCGGGAGAACAAGCGCUGCAAAUACAAUCACUCUAAAAUGUGUGAUAGGUAAGGAGGAUACUUAAAAUGUCUGAAUAUAACAAUACAUUACUAGACAAAACUAGUAUCACUUAAAAUAAGUACCUGAUUACUACCAUUCGUUUGUGUUUCCAAUGAGAGAUUUUGAUGGUUUGUAAUGUUUGUAAAAUUAAGCUGCUUGUGGGGGAGUCUAGGUGCUGUCUUGAGAGAAUGUGAGGAUAUUUGGUCUUAGCAUAAAACAUUGAAAAUAAUUUUUAUUUCUCUAGCCAUUAUUUGGAAAGCAGGUCUAUAAAUGAGAAAGAUUAUCAUAGUCGACGCUACAUUGAUGAGUACAGAAAUGACUACACUCAAGGAUGUGAACCUGGACAUCGCCAAAGAGACCAUGAAAGCCGGUAUCAGAA